UACGGAGGAUUCAAGCGUUAUCCGGAAUUACUGGGUGUAAAGGGAGCGUAGACGGUAAUGUAAGUCUGGAGUGAAAGGCGGGGGCCCAACCCCCGGACUGCUCUGGAAACUAUGUUACUGGAGUGCAGGAGAGGUAAGCGGAACUCCAUGUGUAGCGGUGGAAUGCGUAGAUAUAUGGAAGAACACCAGUGGCGAAGGCGGCUGUCUGGUCUGCAACUGACGCUGAGGCUCGAAAGCAUGGGUAGCGAACAGG
This 253-nucleotide ribosomal RNA is filed under the name uncultured Eubacteriales bacterium. Its description in RNAcentral is "uncultured Clostridiales bacterium partial 16S ribosomal RNA". It matches the Rfam family "Bacterial small subunit ribosomal RNA", at positions 524 to 776 of the family's 1533-position model. The record is from RNAcentral. Lineage: Bacteria; Bacillati; Bacillota; Clostridia; Eubacteriales.